This is a long non-coding RNA of Ictalurus punctatus (channel catfish), 1049 nucleotides long. Lineage: Eukaryota; Metazoa; Chordata; Actinopteri; Siluriformes; Ictaluridae. The record is from Ensembl.
UGUUUAAAAAAAAAAAAACAAACCUAGAGAAAGUCAGUGACCAGUGAAAUAGUAGUAUAUAGAAUUGACCAGUAAGUUAUAGUUGGAGAGAAAUAGACUUAGAAAAGAGACUAUGGCUAUCCCGAUGUUUAACCAGUUAUUUCGUCUUUAACUAGUCUUCAAAAUGUUCCAACAGUAUAUUUUCCUUAAAAUGUGAGUUAGAGAGACCAGUCAUGAUUGUAGGAAAUUCCUACAAAAUCCAGCUUUUGCAGUAUGAUAAGUGGACCGCUUGCGAGUGUAAAACUACCAGCCAAUCAUAUCGCGGCAUGAUGGCUUCCAGCUAAUCCCAGCGCAGGGGGCGGGAUAUGUUCCAAAACCAGUGGCGUAAAAAAAGAGAAAAAAAAGAAGUGGUCUGGCGUUUCUGAGUGAGAAGGACGAAGACACGUCUGGGAUCUAAGUGUCCAAGUUACAGUGACUUACUCUCCAAGGCGGGUAUUAUGUUUCUGUCGAUGAAAUGUACAGAAUAGGCGAAAAAAAAUAUUGCAUUUUUGCAUCGUAUUAAGUUUCAGAUAAUGUGUCCUAGCAAGUGUAGGUUAGACACAGAGCUAUAUUUGAGCUAAGUAACUUUUCAGCUGAAAGUGAACAGGCGACAUUCACGGCCCUUGGAUCCGUUAACCUUAAAGCUGGCUAACGUACCUGCAGUGCGUGGAGCUGCUGAACUACAGCCGACUGUUUUAUUCAGUCUUGAGCACUGUCUUCAGCGUCUUACAUUAGACAUUGCAGUUUAUUGCUCUGGCCACAUCUGCAGUCCUCAUGCCUCUCUGCAGCAGGUCUAUGGCAUGUUCAUGCAGGUGAGCAGGAACCCUAGGCAUCUUUCUUCCGCCUUCUGUUUUGCAGAGUCAGUAGAAAGGUCUCUUUAGUGUCUGAAGUUAUUGUAACUGUGACCUUAUUUGCCUACCGCCUGUGAACUGUUCGUGUCUUAAGGACUGUUCCCCUGGUGCAUGUGCAAUAAUUUUUUAUGGUUCAUUGAACAAUCAUGAAAAACAUUGUUUAAACCCUUUCCAAUAAAG